Molecule: ribosomal RNA, 671 nt
Filed under: Pseudomonas sp.
Lineage: Bacteria; Pseudomonadati; Pseudomonadota; Gammaproteobacteria; Pseudomonadales; Pseudomonadaceae
Description: bacterial SSU rRNA
Rfam family: Bacterial small subunit ribosomal RNA
Source: RNAcentral
AGUCGAGCGGUAGAGAGAAGCUUGCUUCUCUUGAGAGCGGCGGACGGGUGAGUAAUGCCUAGGAAUCUGCCUGGUAGUGGGGGAUAACGUUCGGAAACGGACGCUAAUACCGCAUACGUCCUACGGGAGAAAGCAGGGGACCUUCGGGCCUUGCGCUAUCAGAUGAGCCUAGGUCGGAUUAGCUAGUUGGUGGGGUAAUGGCUCACCAAGGCGACGAUCCGUAACUGGUCUGAGAGGAUGAUCAGUCACACUGGAACUGAGACACGGUCCAGACUCCUACGGGAGGCAGCAGUGGGGAAUAUUGGACAAUGGGCGAAAGCCUGAUCCAGCCAUGCCGCGUGUGUGAAGAAGGUCUUCGGAUUGUAAAGCACUUUAAGUUGGGAGGAAGGGUUGUAGAUUAAUACUCUGCAAUUUUGACGUUACCGACAGAAUAAGCACCGGCUAACUCUGUGCCAGCAGCCGCGGUAAUACAGAGGGUGCAAGCGUUAAUCGGAAUUACUGGGCGUAAAGCGCGCGUAGGUGGUUUGUUAAGUUGGAUGUGAAAUCCCCGGGCUCAACCUGGGAACUGCAUUCAAAACUGACUGACUAGAGUAUGGUAGAGGGUGGUGGAAUUUCCUGUGUAGCGGUGAAAUGCGUAGAUAUAGGAAGGAACACCAGUGGCGAAGGCGACC